Long non-coding RNA from Pongo pygmaeus (Bornean orangutan), 2137 nucleotides. RefSeq lists it as uncharacterized. NCBI's taxonomy places the organism in Eukaryota, Metazoa, Chordata, Mammalia, Primates, Hominidae. The transcript is spliced from 3 exons. The record is from RefSeq and is a predicted model, not a curated record.
GUAGCAGCCCACCACAUCAAGGAACUGUUCUGCUGAAAAUGCCGAUAGCUGGCUCAUUUGGAAGCAUCGAUCUAGCCACUCAAUCACACGAUCACGCCAAGGACCUCCGUUCUUCUCUCUUCCGUUUCUCAUGCUCAUGUCCUCACCUCUGACGGUAGCAGGGUGGCUGGGACCAUUCAGGGUGAUACAACAAUGUCCAGGGAACAAGAGAAGCCAUAUCUUCUACUUUCUCUUGAGAAAAAAGGAAACCUCCUCAGGAGCUUCCUCGAAGGCUCCCCCUACCACAUCUUACUUGCUCCCUCCUGAACCCGUCCUAGGCCGGGGUGCUGCUCUUAAGUCACACAGACGCUAUUCUGGAGCAGGAUGGGCAACAUGGCCUGCUUCAAGUGGAAUUCCAGAGAGGGCUGCAAUGGGGCUCAGACGGUGGACUGUGCCAGCGUGCUUCGUCUCAAAUCCUGGCUCAGCAGUUUGCUACCUGGGUAGAAAGGGGAAGUUUGAGAGGUCUUCCAGCAUCUUCUCAAUUGCUUCCAGCUCAAAAUAAUCAACAUGCCAAAAUGGCAUAUUUUGGGGUCACGUGUUCUGAUCCCCUUCAAUUCCCUAUCUGAAACUUCAUAGGAAGCGUCACAUAUUAAAAGCUGACUUGGUGGAUGUGAAGAGAAAAACUGAAUCAGUAGCUGAAUGGUAAGAGAUUUGCAAAAGGAGAGAAGAAGAUGGAUUAGAACAAGGAUAAACAAACAGAACAACUACAACAACAAAACUCAACAUACUUCUCCUUAUACCAUUAAACCAGUCUCCCUAUCCUGGGAAUAGGCCAGUCCAAUCAAAUGGUUGAGACUCAUUGAUCUGAUGGAGUGUUAACUUCCUGUUUUUAAAGAUACGAAUUAAACACCAUUUGUCCUAUCUGAUUCACACAGAAGCAGAAUUUUUCACCAAUGAUUGUGCAAGCUCCUUCUUGUUGGGCAGUCAGUGUAUCCAGGGCACAACUAUUUUGGAGUACAACAGUGGCUAAACUAUUCAUUUCUGACUGGAAUACUUCCAAUGUUUGCAUAGUGGUAUUGAACUCUGGUUCUAUUACCAUGGGAAGAUUUAGGAUCACCUUUUCCAAACCAUGAAUUGUAAAACUUGGAAAUAAGGUCCUUGACAUUGAAAAGAACUUGGAGUGAGGAUAUAGUGGGUAUUCUAUGACAUCUCAUCUGGUAUGUUUAUGUGGUACUACUAUAUGAAUGAAGGAGCCCAAGUUUGUAAUUUGGCUGGUAUUCAAGGUGGAGUACGUGGUGAUGGAAGGUCCCAGAUAUCUGAGUCCAAACUGUCCUGACCUUUUAAGUGAAAACCCUUUACAUGCCUUGUUGCCGCAUAAAAUAAAAAGAGAGAAAAAGACCAGUGCUGUUCAUGGUCAAAGUCAGAGUGGAACCUGCAAUUCUCCAGAUCUAAUGUGUUUCAUGACCCUUGUCUUUGGUCAUACUGGGAUCUGCAUACCUCCAUGUGCCCCUGGAAGAGCAGAACUGGUUGCCAAAUAUCUAACACAGCAGGCCUGCAAUCUGGGUCUGGAAGCUCUAAGGCCUGGUUUUGUUACUUAGCCAAGUUAUUCCAGGUUUUUGGUCUACUCAUUCAUAAUUUUUGAUGUCGAGCAUUCGAACUGGGGAGCACCUGAACUAUCUCAGGCUGUGCAAGCGUGGCCUAGGAAACAGCUGAAACAUUUGGUAAUUUGGCAAAUGUUUGUGCUUAAAAGGCAGUGCUGGAACCACUUAUGACUUCCAUGAGGGGUUUGAGAAUGCUAUCUAUGGAAUCCGACUACAGAGUUUGAGUGUAACAUUGCCUCGGCAUAUCACCUAGGAAGGGUCCAGGACCAUUUCUCUUUUCAAUGCAAGGGGGAAAAUUCCUUUCCAAUGACUUCACCUGAAUUGUUUGACAUUUCCCAGCCCAGACUCCAGACCUGGUGAUCAGAUGAUCCCAGCCCCAGCCUUCAAACCACUGCAAAUAGAGAAGAGACAAGCUAUUCCUGAGAGAGCCCUGCCCAAUCUACAGAUUAAUAAAGAAAAUAAAUACUGUUGUUAUUUUUAAAGACAGCCCUGUUUGAGGUGGCUUGUUAUGCAGCAAUAGGUAACACGAACAAACGGUAAAGCUUGGAGCCUCUGAA